This 253-nucleotide ribosomal RNA is filed under the name uncultured bacterium. RNAcentral describes it as "partial 16S ribosomal RNA". It matches the Rfam family "Bacterial small subunit ribosomal RNA", at positions 524 to 776 of the family's 1533-position model. The record is from RNAcentral.
UACGGAGGGGACUAGCGUUGUUCGGAAUUACUGGGCGCAAAGCGCACGUAGGCGGAUUUGUAAGUCAGGGGUGAAAUCCCGGGGCUCAACCUCGGAACUGCCUUUGAUACUGCAAAUCUCGAGUCCGGAAGAGGUGAGUGGAAUUCCUAGUGUAGAGGUGAAAUUCGUAGAUAUUAGGAAGAACACCAGUGGCGAAGGCGGCUCACUGGUCCGGAACUGACGCUGAGGUGCGAAAGCGUGGGGAGCAAACAGG